Oreochromis niloticus (Nile tilapia) is the source of this 766-nucleotide long non-coding RNA. RefSeq lists it as uncharacterized. The transcript is spliced from 3 exons. NCBI's taxonomy places the organism in Eukaryota, Metazoa, Chordata, Actinopteri, Cichliformes, Cichlidae. The record is from RefSeq and is a predicted model, not a curated record.
GUCAGAUGGCACCGGACACCGGUACCCAUCCCUAGUCGUGGCUAACUGCGCUAACUCCGACUCACAUGUAAACAUAGGUUUUCAUCUGAUCCGGGCCGACAGAACAGCGGAGAGUGUCUCCACUGAUGGAUGUUUCUGGACUCUGGUGCUGCAGACACGGGGGGAGCGAUGAGAGCUGAAGGAGACAACCAGCUGACACUUUGAUGACGUCCCUCCUAAAGUUCACCAGAUGAGAUCCAAAGACAAAAGCAGCAGGAAGCAACGCUCUGCCAUCGUGCUGAUGAGCAAGCUACAUCAACCCUACUGAAUCCCUCUCUGUGUGGAUCUCACAGAGAGGUGGAGCACAGUUUCAUGAUACAGAGGAGAGCGACUCAGAAAGUGUCUGUCCAGGGUGGGAGGGGUCACUCUCAGGGUCCUGGAGGUGUCCAGGUGUUGGAAAGAAGGGAGACUGCAGACAGUCUCCUUCUCAGCCAAAUGGAUGACACACUGCAGCAGAAAGACUUCACAGUCUCCACUCAUGUAGGAUGAUGGAGGCUGGUGGGGCUGGUUCCUCCUGCAGACGUUCCAACAGCUGCAGUUCCUCUAACGGCCACUUGAAGCUGACUCCAAAAGCGAGUUAAUAUUUACAGUUUUCAGGGUCUGUGUUCAAACUUUAAACCUGAUGCACUGAAAUAAACCCAGGUGUGAAUCCAGAGAGUCUCAUGUGUGGUGUGUGAGUGUGGAGUAGGUCUGGUCCUGGUCCCUGGCGGCUGGAUGGAGGCUCUGG